GUGCUCGCUCCGGCAGCACAUACACUAAAAUUGGAAUGAUACAGAGAUUAGCACGGCCCCUGCGCAAGGAUGACACGCAAAGUCGUGAAGCGUUCCGUAUUUUU
Molecule: small nuclear RNA, 104 nt
Filed under: Suricata suricatta (meerkat)
Lineage: Eukaryota; Metazoa; Chordata; Mammalia; Carnivora; Herpestidae
Source: RNAcentral